AAUGAACGCUGGCGGCGUGCCUAACACAUGCAAGUCGAGCGAGAAAGUGGCUUCGGCCAUGAGUACAGCGGCGAACGGGUGAGUAACACGUGGAUAACCUGCCUGGAAGUGGGGGAUAACUCGGGGAAACCUGAGCUAAUACCGCAUACGCCUUUCGGAUCGCGAUCCGGAUUGGAAAGGUUGCCUCUUCUUCGAAAGCUAUCGCUUCCAGAGGGGUCCGCGCCUGAUUAGCUAGUUGGUGAGGUAAUGGCUCACCAAGGCAACGAUCAGUAGCCGGCCUGAGAGGGUGAUCGGCCACACUGGAACUGAGACACGGUCCAGACUCCUACGGGAGGCAGCAGUGGGGAAUAUUGCGCAAUGGGGGAAACCCUGACGCAGCAACGCCGCGUGGAGGAUGAAGGCCUUCGGGUCGUAAACUCCUGUCAGGUGGGAAGAAUAGGUUGCAGCAAACAACUGCAACUGUUGACGGUACCACCAGAGGAAGCCCCGG
Molecule: ribosomal RNA, 490 nt
Filed under: uncultured bacterium
Lineage: Bacteria
Description: bacterial SSU rRNA
Rfam family: Bacterial small subunit ribosomal RNA
Source: RNAcentral